GACGUAGGAGGCGAGCGUUGUCCGGAGUUACUGGGCGUAAAGGGUGCGCAGGCGGUGGCCUAAGUUUGCGGUGAAAGCUCCCGGCUUACCUGGGAGAGGGCCGUGAAGACUGGGGCACUUGAGGUGUGGAGAGGGACGUGGAAUUCCGGGUGGAGCGGUGAAAUGCAUAGAGAUCCGGAAGAACACCAACGGCGAAGGCAGCGUCCUGGCCACGACCUGACGCUCAGGCACGAAAGCGCGGGGAGCGAACAGG
This 253-nucleotide ribosomal RNA is filed under the name uncultured bacterium. RNAcentral's name for it is "partial 16S ribosomal RNA". It matches the Rfam family "Bacterial small subunit ribosomal RNA", at positions 524 to 776 of the family's 1533-position model. The record is from RNAcentral.